This 564-nucleotide unclassified non-coding RNA is filed under the name Aspergillus tamarii. Its description in RNAcentral is "sequence contains 18S rRNA gene, ITS1, 5.8S rRNA gene, ITS2, 28S rRNA gene". The stretch from base 192 to 345 matches the Rfam family "5.8S ribosomal RNA". Lineage: Eukaryota; Fungi; Ascomycota; Eurotiomycetes; Eurotiales; Aspergillaceae. The record is from RNAcentral.
GAUCAUUACCGAGUGUAGGGUUCCUAGCGAGCCCAACCUCCCACCCGUGUUUACUGUAACCUUAGUUGCUUCGGCGGGCCCGCCUUUAAGGCCGCCGGGGGGCAUCAGCCCCCGGGCCCGCGCCCGCCGGAGACACCACGAACUCUGUCUGAUCUAGUGAAGUCUGAGUUGAUUGUAUCGCAAUCAGUUAAAACUUUCAACAAUGGAUCUCUUGGUUCCGGCAUCGAUGAAGAACGCAGCGAAAUGCGAUAACUAGUGUGAAUUGCAGAAUUCCGUGAAUCAUCGAGUCUUUGAACGCACAUUGCGCCCCCUGGUAUUCCGGGGGGCAUGCCUGUCCGAGCGUCAUUGCUGCCCAUCAAGCACGGCUUGUGUGUUGGGUCGUCGUCCCCUCUUCGGGGGGGACGGGCCCCAAAGGCAGCGGCGGCACCGCGUCCGAUCCUCGAGCGUAUGGGGCUUUGUCACCCGCUCUGUAGGCCCGGCCGGCGCUUGCCGAACGCAAAACAACCAUUCUUUCCAGGUUGACCUCGGAUCAGGUAGGGAUACCCGCUGAACCUAAGCAUAUCA